RNAcentral lists this transfer RNA (96 nucleotides) under Chloropicon primus. RNAcentral describes it as "tRNA-Leu". The record is from RNAcentral. Lineage: Eukaryota; Viridiplantae; Chlorophyta; Chloropicophyceae; Chloropicales; Chloropicaceae.
GUCCUGUCUGGCGAGGAGGGAUCGUCUCCAGCUCGAGGGGAUGGUGGGGAUGGUGAUGGGUUCUCGUCCUUCCUCGCUCGGGGCAAGGACAAGAUG